AGAGUUUGAUCAUGGCUCAGGACGAACGCUGGCGGCGUGCUUAACACAUGCAAGUCACGGGGGCCCGCAAGGGCAACCGGCGAACGGGUGCGUAACACGUGAGCAACUUACCGAUUUGUGGGGGAUAGCCUGCCUAACGGCAGGGUAAUACCGCAUACGCUCUUUGGGUGGAGUCACCUGAAGAGGAAACCUCCGGGGCAAAUCGAGGGGCUCGCGGCCUAUCAGCUAGUUGGUGCGGGUAAUGGCCCACCAAGGCGAUGACGGGUAGCUGAUCUGAGAGGAUGGCCAGCCACAUUGGGACUGAGAAACGGCCCAGACUCCUACGGGAGGCAGCAGUGGGGAAUCUUGCGCAAUGGACGAAAGUCUGACGCAGCGACGCCGCGUGUGGGAGGAAGCUCUUCGGGGUGUAAACCACUGUUGCCCGGGACGAAAUGCCCUUUCGGGGGAAUUGACGGUACCGGGUGAGA
This 467-nucleotide ribosomal RNA is filed under the name uncultured Gemmatimonas sp. RNAcentral's name for it is "bacterial SSU rRNA". It matches the Rfam family "Bacterial small subunit ribosomal RNA", at positions 8 to 487 of the family's 1533-position model. Lineage: Bacteria; Pseudomonadati; Gemmatimonadota; Gemmatimonadia; Gemmatimonadales; Gemmatimonadaceae. The record is from RNAcentral.